AACCCGAGCCUUCCCAAUGGCAGUACGCAAUUCUAACUAGUCGGCUAUCGUGGCCGCCAUUAUGAAUUUUUUUUACGCAACUUCGCCUAGCCCAGGUCCAACAAUUAUAAACAUGAAUUCAUUUCUACAUGCACAUGCAUUUACAAUACAUAGCAUAAGUGACAAAUGUUCAUUGCAUUAGUGGUUUUUAUAAAAUAACAUUUCGCUUGUGUGAAGAACAAUAUAAAAUACGAGAAAAAGUAAAAAAGAAGUUAAGUAGCCUGUAGUGUUCCUAAGGGUUUUUACAUCACGAACGCCUAGUUUAUAUUUCAAUGAGAGUGAGGUGGGUCCCACUGAAUAGGGUCAAUAGAGGGUUUUAAGUUCCACAGUCAAUUCAAGAAGUAAACAAGUGUUAUAGUAGAAACUUGAGUAGAGAUUCGUACAAAAAGUUACAUUUAUUUCUGCAUAUAAAAAAUACAUUUUGUUGCAGCUUUCAAUAUAGCGUGAUAUUUUUUUAGGCUGAGCCACUCCAGCCAAGUGAAAAAACUCCGUUAAAACUGGCGCCCUAGCAAGAGCUUUAAACUAAUAAGUCGAGGUAGUAGACAAAGAGGCAACCAUGGUCAAGGUGAUAUGGGCUUACUAUUUCAUUAGAGAGGAGGGAGAGAUAUGCAGAAGAGUUCGGAUUCGAGGACCGUGGAACAGUAGAAACGCCAACACUUUGUGAGUUUUAUCCAGAGCCACAGUGAAGGAACAGACGUCCAAAAACGAUCAGCAGAGCUGACCCAGCAACAUACUCGGCCAGCAAUAACUCUGAAUCUAGCGACAACAACGUACGUGCCCACGACGUCAUUGUGGGUGCCAUUACGACGGCAGUAAAGACCCCCUAGGAUUCAUAUAGAGGGAGGAAAAGUUAGCGGAUAGGUACAACAUUAACCGUAGUUUGAUCCCACAAGCGUUAUCAGAACUUUUGAAAGACAAGAGUCUCGUAUGGUUCCGUAACAACAAACGGCACUGGUAGAAAUGGGAUGAUCUUAAAAGCGUGAUCUUGAGCACGCGGUACUACGAAAAACUGGUUGACGAGAUACGACGACGCGUCCAACCACCUUUGAGGGGUUUAAAGAUUACGCUUCGGUGCUACAGGGGCUUUUGCGACAUGUGAACUACACGGCCGAAUAUACCGAAACUCUCGCCGGGAGUACUAGCUAUAUGUGAAAAGGCAUGAGCUUCACAGUUUGGAAGAGUUGCUAGAUCUGGUUGAAGAUUUUGCUGUUUAAACCGUUAAAUCUAGAAGAAGAACGAUACCGGUUCCUAUGCGCAGAUGACGUGAAGAGGUGAAGAGGUCAGCAUCAGUAAUAAGACCCUACGUGAAUCAAGAAGAAGGGCGUUACAGUCAGUUUAUUGAUAGCCAACUAAAGGCAAAAGAAUAAUAGCAAUAGCUAGAGAGAAACAGGUUUUAAUCGCAUUGUGAUUCUUCGUAACUGACUGCUAUCAACGCCUCAUUGGAGAGCAAUGGGAAAUAUCUCUGAGUCAGUCUUCCGUAAGCCGUUAUAUGCUUAGCGUAACAGACGUAAUCAAUCAUUCGAUGUCCUUUGCGAAUGUUAGAUUUCCCUCAUCAGUUGGUGGAGGCACUAUUGGUUCACUUUUGUGCUCAUAAUAAGCCCCAGAUAUCAUAAACGAAACUAUGUGAACCACCAUGCCAUUCUAUCAAUGUGCGAAUGAUGCUCCAUCUCCAUCUGGUAUAUUUGCCUCUUCUGUACUUACUACCAUAGCGACUUUCUACUGAGUCGUCUGCAAAGUUCCUGCUGCAGGUCCCUUCAGCGCAAAGAAUAAGGGAGCGGAUAUUUCCUCAUUACUCCAGUUAUUUGCUGUAGCCGUCUUUUCGAACUGGAGCCUACAUACCUUGAAAAUAAUUGUGUCGUCUAAGGAUGCUGUUUUUAACUUGAGAUCGAUCGUUGAAGGGACUGUACGGUUCAUUUGAAGGAUAUCCUUCAAUCUCAUUGACUUCGUCUUCGAACUUAUCUUGCCGUUCUUUUGGGACUGAUCAACUUGUACAUAAGCUGUAUGAACUGGGAUGACUGCGAUGACAACUCGGACAAACGCGUGCCGUGUGCUUCCCACUUUUGUGAUAUACGUGCAUCCUAUGUUUUUAGUUGUAUUGAAAUGUCGGCUUUUUGGUCUUGAAGCUGUGAUGAUGGCAUUCAUUUUUGACAUUGCAGCCAAUAGUACGUUCAUGUCAACACCAAAAGAUGAACUGGUGUGCUAGCUGCUCGAAAUCUUUUUGCAGAUUCAACACUCUCUUCUUUCUUCGAAUCCUUCAUGGAUGUAUUUUCGUCGGUCAAUUGGUAGUUCAAAGUACUCCUGUUGAGUUCCUGACAAGAAGGGUCUACGUCGCUAUGAAACUUCAACUGACAACAAACAUGUAUCUGCUGAGAAUUUCUCUGUGUGAUUACUGAUUAUCGGUACUUGUCGAGUACUGUCGUCGAAUCAAGCGGAUUAAUUUCAUUUCCUCUGAAUUUCUGUAACUUUGUCGCAUCGAAAGAGGAACUCAUCAACAAAGAAUUCCCCAACAUAAUAAUUUUCCAUCAAGGAAUGGUUAGUUGCCUGGCUUACCACCGCACAGUUUAUGAACAAAGUUUGCUUCGAAAUACAAAGCAAGCAAAACCGGGUAACGGAACUCGUAUGGUAAGCAAACUGAUGAAUAAUGUAAUUUUCGCGACGAUACUCAAAGGAAGCUUUGAAGGUGAGGACGUUCUCAUUCAGAGAAUUCCGAUGAUCCCAAACGAUAUACCGUUCACUUUUAAAGAACUUCAGUUUCCGAUCUGCCUUGCUUUCGCCAUGACAAUUCACAAAUCGGAAGGCCAAUCCUUGAAAGUUUGUGGUCUGAUUAUGGGAAAUCCUUGUUUUUCACAUGGUCAGAUUUUGUGGCCUGAUAAUGAAACAAAAAUGCCACCCAUCACAACGUUCUCCACUGAACAGUGCAACUCUUGCACCAAAAUACAUGAUCAAUGAAAAACCAUAGAUUUAAGACUUGAUUUUUCUAAAUUAUAUGUGUUAUCUUAAUAAAAAA
Long non-coding RNA from Ceratitis capitata (Mediterranean fruit fly), 3046 nucleotides. RefSeq lists it as uncharacterized. Lineage: Eukaryota; Metazoa; Arthropoda; Insecta; Diptera; Tephritidae. The record is from RefSeq and is a predicted model, not a curated record. The transcript has 3 exons.